GGGGGAUAUCGCUGCUCCCGCCCUCCAGCCGCGCUGCCCCUGCCGCCCAGCCGGGGAAGCGAGCCUCAAGAAACAGCUUCAAGGUCCCACAUCUUCAAAAGCAAGUCUUUUAAGAAAUCCAAAAUUUGUGGAAUCUGCAAACAAGUAAUUGAUAGCCAAGGCAUUUCCUGCAGAGCUUGCAAAUAUGCCUGCCACAGGAAAUGUGAAGAAAAGGUAAGCAUAUUUAUUUGCCUCCCUUCUUGCUGUUGAUCCACACAUAUUUGAAGUUGAG
RNAcentral lists this long non-coding RNA (271 nucleotides) under Calidris pygmaea (Spoon-billed sandpiper). RNAcentral describes it as "lncRNA (ENSCPGG00000015266.1)". Lineage: Eukaryota; Metazoa; Chordata; Aves; Charadriiformes; Scolopacidae. The record is from RNAcentral.